Molecule: long non-coding RNA, 2380 nt
Organism: Lutra lutra (Eurasian river otter)
Lineage: Eukaryota; Metazoa; Chordata; Mammalia; Carnivora; Mustelidae
Exons: 2
Source: RefSeq, a predicted model, not a curated record
GAGAACUCAACCCCUUCUUGCAAUCACAUUGUAAGCCCGAUACAUGCCGGGGCUGAAGGCCGCCAGAGGCAGCUGGUUGAUGUGAGGAAAUCGCCCACGGUAUCCACUGCAGCACUGGAAGCGGAGAGCUAAAGGUGCCUGGGAGAGGGCUGCAGGCAUGGACAGUAGGGCUGGACCCUUUGGGGGCCAGGAGCACUGUAGUAACCCAUCCUGCAUCUUGGGACGGCCUUGGAUUUGAAGUCCACAGAAAGAUAGCAUCAGAGGGGUGAGAGGAUUGACCAAGGAGAGAGGUGCAAAGGAGCCCCAGGGGCUGACUACCUAGAUCAGCCCAGUUUGACAGCUCUCUUCUCUUCUAUACACACAGAAUACAAAUACAGCCUCCUGCCCAUACAUACCCACAGACACCUACGCAGUCACACAUACACGUAAAGACAUGUGGACAGGUCAUCCUCAGCACCAAACAGAGGUAUACACAAACAUGUACACACUCACAGUCACUCACAUAUAUAUUCACAUGCACAAUCACACACGAUUACCCUCAUAUUCGUGUGCACGCACACACACAAACACUCAAAAAACAGCUAAAAAUAAAAAAGUGGCCACUGGGGUAUCUAAGAUCUCUUUUUGGAAACCUCUCACAGAAAGAUCCAGGUUGGGAGAAGAGAAAUGACCCCACAUCUGAGGCUCCCAUCAUGGCUAUUGGAAGACUUGCUUCCUGGAGAAAAGCAUUGGAUGAUUUAUUGGGAUAUGGGUUUCCAGAACCCUGGAGGGCCUUUGAGCCCUGUGGGAAAUGAGCGGUUUAUUUGAGGUGAUGUCAUACAGAGAGAUUGGAGCCAUGGGGACUGCAAAGUAGGUUUGAAGAUGUGUCUCACGGCAAUGCACGGGAAGGCUUCAAGCCCAGAAGAGAGGCAGAGAGGCCAGUUGUAAAUAUCUCUGUAGAUCCAUGUAGCUAGAUAAAAAUAUUUAUACCUUAAAAAGAACAUCUUGCCCUCAAGUGCUGCAAUGAAAACAGUUGAACUCAACUACAACUCACACUGUGUGAGGUUAUGUGUCAAGGUGAGGUGGAGGUUUGGCAAUGACACCUUUGCAGAAAUUUGAACCUUCUGAGUUUGUCAUGGACUGGGUCAUUUUAGCCUGAAAAUUGCCAGAUCUCCCCUUGUUGUGUUCCGUGUGUGUUCUGUCAUCAGCGUCAUUGUUGACCCUAUCCUCAGCCAGCUGCCUACAUCCCGCCCCACUCCUCACCUCACACCAAGUAACUCCGGAAGUGCGGAGCCUUUCUCAGCCCCAGCCAAUCAGAGGGUGCUUGGGGGCAGAAGGAAAGGUCUUGUUGAGUCUGGGAUGGAGCAACCCCCACUUCAGUUUUCUACCUAUCUUUCCUCUUCCUCACAUGGGCUAUCCCAUUAACUUUGCCCCUAGAAUUCCUUCACCACCACUACCUUAUUGUAAGGACGUGUGCCUUUACAGAGAGAACGGAUGAUCUGUUGGGUCUUACUGGAGCUUGUAAAAUGUAUUCUUACAAUCUGGGUCAUCUUGUUAAUAGCAAGGCUGUAAUGUCUUUGCAUAUUUAGAACUGAGCUUUGCUGAGACUGUGGCCAUUCCUAAUGAGGUUUCUUCUGUACAUUAAAGAACUAACCCUUUGAGCUAUUAACUAAUGAAUGCAUUUGCUAAGCUAUCAACCUGCAUGGUACCUUGCCAUGGUGUUGAGCAUCAAAAGAAAUCGUGACUUGUUCUAUUGAAAGUGCAGUGUGUUUGUGUUUGUUUUGUAGUGUCCUGUGAUCAGUAUGAAAUCUCUAUUAUCAGUGUUGGGUUUUCAGGGGAGGGGAGGGGGGGGGGUGUUACAGUGUCUCUCUGAUAUCUUUCAAUUAUAAAAUAGCCCCAGUUGGUCAGGGUCACCUCUGUUAAUUCAACGUGUGUGAGACUUUGCACCUACUCUAUCUUGCCGUACUGUAUCCCUGGGGUCAGGAGUCAUCAGCAGAACUGAAGGAGCCCGAGUGUAGUGAAACUGGCUGUGGUGCCUGACUUUGGGCAGUGCCAGAGAGUUCUUCAGAUAGGCAAGGCAGUGCCAUUCUGAAGCAGAUGAACUACAGUAAAACCACAAACAUGGAGGUCUUCAAGGAAACCAGGAGAGGAGGAGGACUGAGACCCAUGUGUCUUACUGGCCUGACCUGCAGAAGGGUACAGAACAGCAGAGAUCCCCCCGAAGACCCAAUUCCCUCUUUGUCCUCAUUAAAUGUACAUUUUUGCAUGAAAAAGACCUUGACCAGUCCAGACUUCAAAGAAGGAAAACAUGAAGAAACAAAAUUAUGCUUCUGAAAAGUAUGCUGAAAUAAAGGUUUGUAAAUAGUCAAAAGGAGAAAAUAAACAUGUAGUGGCAAUUAUA